UACGGAGGGGGCUAGCGUUGUUCGGAAUUACUGGGCGUAAAGCGCACGUAGGCGGCUUUGUAAGUUAGAGGUGAAAGCCCAGGGCUCAACUCUGGAAUUGCCUUUAAGACUGCAUUGCUUGAACACGGGAGAGGUGAGUGGAAUUCCGAGUGUAGAGGUGAAAUUCGUAGAUAUUCGGAAGAACACCAGUGGCGAAGGCGGCUCACUGGACCGUUGUUGACGCUGAGGUGCGAAAGCGUGGGGAGCAAACAGG
This 253-nucleotide ribosomal RNA is filed under the name uncultured bacterium. RNAcentral describes it as "partial 16S ribosomal RNA". It matches the Rfam family "Bacterial small subunit ribosomal RNA", at positions 524 to 776 of the family's 1533-position model. The record is from RNAcentral.